This 426-nucleotide ribosomal RNA is filed under the name uncultured bacterium. RNAcentral describes it as "partial 16S ribosomal RNA". It matches the Rfam family "Bacterial small subunit ribosomal RNA", at positions 355 to 774 of the family's 1533-position model. The record is from RNAcentral.
UGGGGAAUAUUGGACAAUGGGCGAAAGCCUGAUCCAGCAAUACCGCGUGUGUGAAGAAGGCCUUCGGGUUGUAAAGCACUUUAAGUUGGGAAGAAAAAACUUUACCUAAUACGUGAAGUCUUGACGGUACCGACAGAAUAAGCACCGGCUAACUCUGUGCCAGCAGCCGCGGUAAUACAGAGGGUGCUAGCGUUAAUCGGAUUUACUGGGCGUAAAGCGUGCGUAGGUGGUUUGAUAAGUCGGUUGUGAAAGCCCCGGGCUCAACCUGGGAAUUGCGGCCGAUACUGUCAGACUCGAAAACGGUAGAGGGAGGUGGAACUCCAGGUGUAGCGGUGAAAUGCGUAGAUAUCUGGAAGAACAUCGAUGGCGAAGGCAGCCUCCUGGGCCUGUUUUGACACUGAGGCACGAAAGCGUGGGUAGCAAACA